Molecule: ribosomal RNA, 1436 nt
Filed under: Salmonella enterica
Lineage: Bacteria; Pseudomonadati; Pseudomonadota; Gammaproteobacteria; Enterobacterales; Enterobacteriaceae
Description: bacterial SSU rRNA
Rfam family: Bacterial small subunit ribosomal RNA
Source: RNAcentral
GCUGACGAGUGGCGGACGGGUGAGUAAUGUCUGGGAAACUGCCUGAUGGAGGGGGAUAACUACUGGAAACGGUGGCUAAUACCGCAUAACGUCGCAAGACCAAAGAGGGGGACCUUCGGGCCUCUUGCCAUCAGAUGUGCCCAGAUGGGAUUAGCUAGUUGGUGAGGUAACGGCUCACCAAGGCGACGAUCCCUAGCUGGUCUGAGAGGAUGACCAGCCACACUGGAACUGAGACACGGUCCAGACUCCUACGGGAGGCAGCAGUGGGGAAUAUUGCACAAUGGGCGCAAGCCUGAUGCAGCCAUGCCGCGUGUAUGAAGAAGGCCUUCGGGUUGUAAAGUACUUUCAGCGGGGAGGAAGGUGUUGUGGUUAAUAACCGCAGCAAUUGACGUUACCCGCAGAAGAAGCACCGGCUAACUCCGUGCCAGCAGCCGCGGUAAUACGGAGGGUGCAAGCGUUAAUCGGAAUUACUGGGCGUAAAGCGCACGCAGGCGGUCUGUCAAGUCGGAUGUGAAAUCCCCGGGCUCAACCUGGGAACUGCAUUCGAAACUGGCAGGCUUGAGUCUUGUAGAGGGGGGUAGAAUUCCAGGUGUAGCGGUGAAAUGCGUAGAGAUCUGGAGGAAUACCGGUGGCGAAGGCGGCCCCCUGGACAAAGACUGACGCUCAGGUGCGAAAGCGUGGGGAGCAAACAGGAUUAGAUACCCUGGUAGUCCACGCCGUAAACGAUGUCUACUUGGAGGUUGUGCCCUUGAGGCGUGGCUUCCGGAGCUAACGCGUUAAGUAGACCGCCUGGGGAGUACGGCCGCAAGGUUAAAACUCAAAUGAAUUGACGGGGGCCCGCACAAGCGGUGGAGCAUGUGGUUUAAUUCGAUGCAACGCGAAGAACCUUACCUGGUCUUGACAUCCACGGAAGUUUUCAGAGAUGAGAAUGUGCCUUCGGGAACCGUGAGACAGGUGCUGCAUGGCUGUCGUCAGCUCGUGUUGUGAAAUGUUGGGUUAAGUCCCGCAACGAGCGCAACCCUUAUCCUUUGUUGCCAGCGGUCCGGCCGGGAACUCAAAGGAGACUGCCAGUGAUAAACUGGAGGAAGGUGGGGAUGACGUCAAGUCAUCAUGGCCCUUACGACCAGGGCUACACACGUGCUACAAUGGCGCAUACAAAGAGAAGCGACCUCGCGAGAGCAAGCGGACCUCAUAAAGUGCGUCGUAGUCCGGAUUGGAGUCUGCAACUCGACUCCAUGAAGUCGGAAUCGCUAGUAAUCGUGGAUCAGAAUGCCACGGUGAAUACGUUCCCGGGCCUUGUACACACCGCCCGUCACACCAUGGGAGUGGGUUGCAAAAGAAGUAGGUAGCUUAACCUUCGGGAGGGCGCUUACCACUUUGUGAUUCAUGACUGGGGUGAAGUCGUAACAAGGUAACCGUAGGGGAACCUGCGGUUG